AACGAACGCUGGCGGCGUGCCUAACACAUGCAAGUCGAACGAGAAAGGGGCUUCGGCUCCGAGUAAAGUGGCGCACGGGUGAGUAACACGUGGGUAACCUGCCUCUAAGAUUGGGAUAACUCGUCGAAAGAUGAGCUAAUACCGAAUAAGACCACAGUUCCCGCGGGAACAGGGGUCAAAGGUAGCCUCUGCUUGCAAGCUAUCACUUAGAGAUGGGCCUGCGCACCAUUAGCUAGUUGGUAGGGUAACGGCCUAACAAGGCAAAGAUGGUUAGCUGGUCUGAGAGGAUGAUCAGCCAAACUGGAACUGGGACACGGUCCAGACUCCUACGGGAGGCAGCAGUGGGGAAUAUUGCGCAAUAGGCGAAAGCUUGACGCAGCAACGCCGCGUGAGGGAUGAAGGCCUUCGGGUCGUAAAGCUCUGUCGGGAGGAACGAAUGCUCCUGAGGUUAACAGCCUCGGGAGGUGACGGUACCUUCAAAGGAAGCACCGGCUAACUCUGUG
RNAcentral lists this ribosomal RNA (503 nucleotides) under uncultured bacterium. Its description in RNAcentral is "partial 16S ribosomal RNA". It matches the Rfam family "Bacterial small subunit ribosomal RNA", at positions 29 to 507 of the family's 1533-position model. The record is from RNAcentral.